This 28-nucleotide non-coding RNA is filed under the name Rattus norvegicus (Norway rat). Lineage: Eukaryota; Metazoa; Chordata; Mammalia; Rodentia; Muridae. The record is from RNAcentral.
UGCACUUACAUUCUCUGAUACACGGCUC